UAUCUUUGUCCUAAAUUAAACUUCUUAAAGUUUGACCAAGUUUACAGAAAAUUUACUAAUAUCUACAAUAUCAAAUAAGUAUAGUAUGAAGAUAUAUAUCAUGAUGGAUUUACUAAACUAAUUUAGAGUUGCAGAUGUUAAUAGAUUUUUCUAUAAACUCGGUCAAAAUUUAAGAAGUUUGACUUAGGACAAAGCUAG
RNAcentral lists this microRNA precursor (198 nucleotides) under Brachypodium distachyon (stiff brome). RNAcentral describes it as "MIR1435 microRNA precursor family". It matches the Rfam family "MIR1435 microRNA precursor family". The record is from Rfam by way of RNAcentral. Lineage: Eukaryota; Viridiplantae; Streptophyta; Magnoliopsida; Poales; Poaceae.